GAUCAGUAAAGAUGAAUGAUGUUGGCGACUGUUUGCUUCAGCUGUAAUUUAUUCUCAUCAGGAUAAUUGGUGAUUUGCUUAUGAUUUGUGAUAACGCAGCCGUAUAAAUCAUCCCAUUUAUUACUUUGCAUUAGGAUAGUGAACUGGUCUCAGCUUUGAUGAGUGCAGGUUCAGUCUUACCUGCCUUUAUGAAGCCAAAAGACCAAAAGAAAUGACAGAAAGGGUCGUUGUCCUGCUUGACUUAAAACCCUGUCAGGCAGGUUUUCCUCCCUUUUACAGAGUAAGACUCAAGUGACUGGAUAUGUGAGAUGUUUUGCAUCUAAUGCUAAGUAUUAAUAUUCAUUUGUCGCUGUGAAGAUGUCGUUUCAGAAACAUGAAGGGAAAAUCGCUGAAGAAGGGACGAGACUGGAUCCUGGAAAAGAAGGAGAGGAGGAGGAGACAGGGACGGGAGGUUCGAGCCGACACUAAAUACACUGGACGUAAGCGAAGACCUCAUUUCUAGCUCUGACUCAUGCAGCUGCGCCUUCAUUAGCCCUCCUCUGUAACACACAGACACACAGAACCACCUCUGGAACUGCAGAGUGUUUGGACUCUGAUUUAUUUUUCAGCUCUUUAAUUCAAGUGGAUGUGAUGCAAGAGCAAAAUGCAAUUACAGCCAGUCGUUUUUAUAUUUGGUCGAGUGUUCCUCGCUAAAAGCGGUGAGAUUGCACUCACAAUGUUCAGUUUGGCUGGAAGUACAUGAACAAAUGUGUGUGUACUCACAGCUGGUGGCAAAAACCACAGUGAAGAAAAAGCAAAACAGUAUAAAUAAAUCAAAGCAAUUUUAUAAGUGGCCAUAUCUUUGUGGUUUAUUGUAUUAUCUGCAAUGUUUCUCAAUUAAAACUAAACAAGAAAUGUA
Non-coding RNA from Neolamprologus brichardi, 898 nucleotides. The record is from RefSeq and is a predicted model, not a curated record. Lineage: Eukaryota; Metazoa; Chordata; Actinopteri; Cichliformes; Cichlidae.